AAACAAUAGCAUUCUUUAAUGCAUGUCGGUUUCGGCCCGACAAGAGCGUCCGCACGCAUUGUUUU
Molecule: transfer RNA, 65 nt
Filed under: Pheretima lactea
Lineage: Eukaryota; Metazoa; Annelida; Clitellata; Crassiclitellata; Megascolecidae
Description: tRNA-Arg
Source: RNAcentral